Molecule: transfer RNA, 68 nt
Filed under: Dolichoderus quadripunctatus
Lineage: Eukaryota; Metazoa; Arthropoda; Insecta; Hymenoptera; Formicidae
Also listed under: 1 other name
Description: tRNA-Pro
Source: RNAcentral
CAGAAUAUAGUUUAAUUAAUAAUAUUAAUUUUGGAGAUUAGAGAUAUAAAUUUUAUUUAUUAUUCUGA